GAUGAACGCUGGCGGCGUGCUUAACACAUGCAAGUCGAACGAGAAUCAACGGAUUGAGGAUUCGUCCAAAUGAAGUUGAGGAAAGUGGCGGACGGGUGAGUAACGCGUGAGGAACCUGCCUCGGAGUGGGGAAUAACAGUUGGAAACAGCUGCUAAUACCGCAUAAGACCACAGAGCCGCAUGGCUCGGGGGUCAAAGGAGAAAUCCGCUGAAGGAUGGCCUCGCGUCCGAUUAGCUAGUUGGCGGGGUAACGGCCCACCAAGGCGACGAUCGGUAGCCGGACUGAGAGGUUGAUCGGCCACAUUGGGACUGAGACACGGCCCAG
Molecule: ribosomal RNA, 325 nt
Filed under: uncultured bacterium
Lineage: Bacteria
Description: bacterial SSU rRNA
Rfam family: Bacterial small subunit ribosomal RNA
Source: RNAcentral